UCUUCCCCUUCGGGGGACAAAGUGACAGGUGGUGCAUGGUUGUCGUCAGCUCGUGUCGUGAGAUGUUGGGUUAAGUCCCGCAACGAGCGCAACCCUUAAGCUUAGUUGCCAGCAUUAAGUUGGGCACUCUAAGUUGACUGCCGGUGACAAACCGGAGGAAGGUGGGGAUGACGUCAAAUCAUCAUGCCCCUUAUGAUUUGGGCUACACACGUGCUACAAUGGACAAUACAAAGGGCAGCUAAACCGCGAGGUCAUGCAAAUCCCAUAAAGUUGUUCUCAGUUCGGAUUGUAGUCUGCAACUCGACUACAUGAAGCUGGAAUCGCUAGUAAUCGUAGAUCAGCAUGUUACGGUGAAUACGUUCCCGGGUCUUGUACACACCGCCCGUCACACCACGAGAGUCUGUAACACCCGAAGCCGGUGGAGUAACCAUUUAUGGAGCUAGCCGUCGAAGGUGGGACAAAUGAUUGGGGUGAAGUCGUAACAAGGUAGCCGUAUCGGAA
Molecule: ribosomal RNA, 501 nt
Filed under: uncultured bacterium
Lineage: Bacteria
Description: bacterial SSU rRNA
Rfam family: Bacterial small subunit ribosomal RNA
Source: RNAcentral